UGUGAGGAUAAUGCAUGUAUACAGUAAUU
Molecule: non-coding RNA, 29 nt
Filed under: Mus musculus (house mouse)
Lineage: Eukaryota; Metazoa; Chordata; Mammalia; Rodentia; Muridae
Source: RNAcentral